Triticum dicoccoides is the source of this 1506-nucleotide long non-coding RNA. RefSeq lists it as uncharacterized. NCBI's taxonomy places the organism in Eukaryota, Viridiplantae, Streptophyta, Magnoliopsida, Poales, Poaceae. The transcript is spliced from 2 exons. The record is from RefSeq and is a predicted model, not a curated record.
CGCCAACCACCUCCGGCCGCCGCCCACCCUGCUCCGACGCGCCCCCGGGCCCUCCUCCUUUCGGGCGCGCGGGCGCACCGCCGGCCCCGCCACUUCCCGACGCGCCGCGGCCCCGCCUCCUCCGGGCGCGCCACCGCCCCGCCUUCUUCCGGUGCAAGGCCGCUGCCCCCACCUCCUCCUAGCACGCCGUCGCCUUCUUCCAGUGCAAGGCCGCCACCCCCACCUCCUCCUAGCACGCCGUCGCCCCCGCCUCCUUCCGGUGCAAGGUUGGCCCCUUCCUUCAGGGCGAGGUGGGUUUGGACUUCAACCCCUCCCGCUCCUCCCAUGCGCCGCCGCGCGUACCCACCCACAACCCCACUUGCGCCCGUGCGCCACGGUUGGUCCCUACCCUGCACCCCGCCUACUCUCAUGUGCAGCCGCGCGCGCUCGCGCUGAACCCUGCCUCCUCCCGACUUGCUCGGCCCCUGUAGCAACGGCUGCCAGAUCACGCGCGAGGCCCGUCCGCGUUGUCGUGCUGCUCCUCCGGCUAGCGGGACAAGACUAUGUCCUGUCGUGAGAGUGAGAGCGGCACAGAGGAUGUCGCCGACGACGAUGCAACGGAGCCGGGCAAGUACAUGAUGUGGGCGCGCCACUGGUGCCUAGUCUCACAGCCCUUGUUCGUCUCUGUGAUGCUGCAGGAAGUUCGAUUCAGCAGCCCGAGCUCGUUCAAAUGCAUGAACUAAAAAGUUCGAGCCGCCUCUCAUGGUCAUCCAUCAGUGAGAUGCCUGGAGGACUUCUCCGUCGACUUGCAGGUUCAGCAAUGGAUAAGGAAGCUGUCCUUGACCAUUUUCUCGUGUACAGGCUGCAUGAGGCGUACAGAUCCAACUCCCCCGCCCGGCAGCUAUGGCGUGUGGCUGCCCAGCACAUCAGCGCCUCCCAAGGUCCAUUUUCUAAGUGAUUUUCUUGUCUGAAGUUCAGACGUACUUGCAGGCACCACCAUGACGAACCAGCUCAUCCUAUUUUGGACAGCAAAUCAGAGAAAAUAUUUUAGGCGGAAUGCAGUUAAGAGAUAAUGGGGAAACGAGGGUUCAAAGAUACUUUUUAGUACAUGCGGAGAGCUUUUUCAGUGCACUGUAGCCAAAAUUCUGCUCUGAAGGCCAAACUACUGACGUGUGGCUUGCUAGCACUAGUAGAUCUUGGGAUAUGGGCACACCAGGAAGAAGACAGAAAAGAAAAUGGUGAGUUGGAGAUCGCAAGUUCACUGCUUAAAAGGAUAAGAUCCCUGUUGGUUUUAUAUAGAGAACACCCAGCGGGGGUAAAAAGAGCAUCACUUUGUCCAAGUCCACCAAUCAAAUUUUUGCUCUGUUUAAAGGUUUACGUCACUGUCUAAAAUUGUUAAUUGUUUCUGUAUGUUUGAGCAUCCGACCUAAGUUUCUUGUGAGGCGGUUUAAUUACAGUAAUUUUGUCCGUUCAGUAAUAUGUGUACAAGUUACUGUAUACAAAUAAAAAAGCUAAGAAAUUUACUCA